Molecule: ribosomal RNA, 449 nt
Filed under: uncultured bacterium
Lineage: Bacteria
Description: partial 16S ribosomal RNA
Rfam family: Bacterial small subunit ribosomal RNA
Source: RNAcentral
UCCAGACUCCUACGGGAGGCAGCAGUGGGGAAUAUUGGGCAAUGGGCGCAAGCCUGACCCAGCAAUGCCGCGUGAAGGAAGAAGGCCUUCGGGUUGUAAACUUCUUUUAUCAGGGACGAAGGAUGUGACGGUACCUGAUGAAUAAGCUCCGGCUAACUACGUGCCAGCAGCCGCGAUAAUACGUAGGGAGCAAGCGUUAUCCGGAUUUACUGGGUGUAAAGGGCGCGUAGGCGGGAUGGCAAGUCAGAUGUGAAAUCUGGAGGCUCAACCUCCAAAUUGCAUUUGAAACUGUUUUUCUUGAGUACUGGAGAGGCAGACGGAAUUCCUUGUGUAGCGGUGAAAUGCGUAGAUAUAAGGAGGAACACCAGUGGCGAAGGCGGUCUGCUGGACAGCAACUGACGGUGAGGCGCGAAAGCGUGGGGAGCAAACAGGAUUAGAUACCCCCGUAA